CUGGUUGAUCCUGCCAGUAGUGUAUGCUUCUCCUAAAGACUAAGCCAUGCAUGCCUUCGAAUAAGAGGAAGCAAUUCUCUCUGAAUCUGCGAACGGCUCCGCAAACCAGUUGUAAACAAUAGCAAGCAAGCCCGGGUCUGGUCUUCACGGGUCAGGCUCGGGUAACACGGAUAACCCUGGUAAUUCUGAGGCUAAUACGAGAACGCAACCCCUGGUCGACCGGGCAACUGGAAGGUUGGGAAGCGUGUACUAGAUCGCGAGGAAGACGCCGGGAAAGGAUGCACGCUUGGACCGCGCUAAACAAGGAUCAGGUUACCGACCUCACGGAAGGUGGCCUGGCCCUAGCGGCUCUUGCAAUGUGCUUCUGACCUAUCAACUAGAUGGCAGCGUAACGGACAUGCUAUGGUUACAACGGGUACAGAGGAUUAGGGUUCGAUCCUGGAGAGUGGGCCUGAGAGAUUGCUCAUACUUCUAAGGAAGGCAGCAGGCGCGCAACGUUCCCCUUGGGCAAUGCCCGAGGGCGUUAGGGGACAUAUGAAUGCCUGCCCUAUGGGUGGGCAAUUCAAAUGGGUUUGUUGUAAACAGCCCUUCGAGUAACAAUUAGAGGACAAGUCUGGUGCCAGCACCCGCGGUAAUUCCAGCUCUAAUAGCAUACGUUAAAGUUGUUGCAGUUAAAACGCUCGUAGUCGGCUUCAGACCGUCAGAAGCCUAAGCUGGGAAUCCGGAUCCGUGUCCUUCACUGGGCUGGCCGGAGGACUGGCGAGGGUAGGCGGCGGUCAAGUGUGCCCCGGUUCCUCUCUCCGGAGUGACAGGGUCAGGCUUUCGUUCCCUCACGGGGGCGGGGGUCUGGCUCGGACCGAGGUACCACUUACCAUGAUCAAACUGAGGUGAUCAAAGCAGGUCAUUCGACCUUGCACAGCACAGCAUGGCAUAAGCCAAACCGGCUCGGGGCUCCCUCGCGGGUCCCGGGUCGGUAGAAGCGAAAGGGGUGUUCGAGGGUGACCGAAUUGCCGGGCGAGUGGUGAAAUACGUUGACCCUGGCAAGUCGACCCAAGGCGAAAGCAGUCAUCAAGGGCACACCCGUUGAUCAAGAGCGAAAGUUAAGGGUUCGAAGACGAUCAGAUACCGUCGUAGUCUUAACUAUAAAUGAUACUGACCAGGGAUAGGAUACUGUCCAUCUCGACUCUUCCCGGACCUUAGAGAAAUCACAGUCUUUGAGUUCUGGGGGGAGUAUGGUCGCAAGGCUGAAACUUAAAGGAAUUGACGGAAGGGCACACAAAGAGUGGAACCUGCGGCUUAAUUUGACUCAACACGGGAAAACUCACCAGGUCCAGAUACACGGAUGAAAGACAAGCUGACAGACUUUUCUCAAUGAUGUAAGUGGUGGUGCAUGGUCGUUCUUAGUUCGUGGAGUGAUUUGUCUGGUCUAUUCCGAUAACGAGCGAGACCCCGACGUUCCUAAUAGGGGUAGCAGCCCGGCUCGGUCGCAAGACCCUGCUAGCCGCUACCUCAUACAAGCUUCUUAGACGUAUCAGAGCCGAUAAGGUUCUUGAAAUGGGUUAAUAACAGGUCAGUCAUGCCCUUAGAUGUUCUGGGCCGCACGCGCGUUACAAUGGCAUGUAAAGAAAGUGCCUACAAGGGCGUAUCCGCGGCUCUACGGGUCGCGGUAACCCKUAGUCCCUGCCUUGACUGGGACAGACUAUUGUAAUUAUUGGUCUCAAACGAGGAAUUUUUAGUAGUCGCAGGUCAUYAGCCUGCGACGAAUGCGUCCCUGCCCUUUGUACACACCGCCCGUCGCUGCUACCGAUUGGGUUUUGCGGUUACGAGUUCGGAGGUCGUGGCUCCCCGUUUGUUCACGCAGGCGGUAACCAUAGCCAAAGUCCUAAUUACCGCACGGCCUAGAGGAAGCAGAAGUCGUAACAAGGUAAUCGUAGGUGAACCUGCGUUUGGAUCAUUUA
This 1958-nucleotide ribosomal RNA is filed under the name Didymium spongiosum. RNAcentral describes it as "SSU rRNA". The record is from RNAcentral. Lineage: Eukaryota; Evosea; Eumycetozoa; Physariida; Didymiaceae.